GUUCAAGCCCAAAACCACUCAAAGCAUUUGACGUUUGCAGGAUUUUCAGCGAAGGAGCGCCACAUGACCAGACUCCUGAGAGGCUGAUCCACACAACUUCAGAACAUCUAGAAACCCUGCAUUUAAUCUGAUCCGAAAGCCAUAUAUUACCGUACUCCACACCUUCUACGCAUGGAGAGAACAGAGUAAGACGUGUCUGCAGUAUUGGACUACAAGGGGUUUGGUGUAUAGCGUAACCCUGAAGACACAUACCUAUGUGCAGGAGCUGUGUACUCGAAACUAUUUAAUCUUGAAUAUGAAUAAUAUUCAUGGGCAAGCUGCCACCCUCUUCUCCCGAUGAUGAUGAAGCCCCUAAUUCACCCGACUCCCAAGUGCGAUCAGC
Bufo gargarizans (Asiatic toad) is the source of this 382-nucleotide long non-coding RNA. RefSeq lists it as uncharacterized. The transcript has 3 exons. The record is from RefSeq and is a predicted model, not a curated record. Lineage: Eukaryota; Metazoa; Chordata; Amphibia; Anura; Bufonidae.